CCUACGGGUGGCAGCAGUGGGGGAUAUUGCACAAUGGGGGGAACCCUGAUGCAGCGACGCCGCGUGAGCGAAGAAGUACCUCGGUAUGUAAAGCUCUAUCAGCAGGGAAGAAAAUGACGGUACCUGACUAAGAAGCCCCGGCUAAAUACGUGCCAGCAGCCGCGGUAAUACGUAUGGGGCAAGCGGUAUCCGGAUUUACUGGGGGCAAAGGGAGCGCCGGCGGGCUGCCAAGUCAGGUGGGAAAACCGGGGGCCGAAACCCGGUCCCGCAGUUGAAACUGGCGGGCUUGAGUGGCGGAGGGGUAGGCGGAAUGCGUGGUGUAGCGGUGAAAUGCGUAGAUAUCAGGAAGAACACCGGUUGCGAAGGCAGCGUACUGGA
This 378-nucleotide ribosomal RNA is filed under the name uncultured bacterium. Its description in RNAcentral is "partial 16S ribosomal RNA". It matches the Rfam family "Bacterial small subunit ribosomal RNA", at positions 338 to 733 of the family's 1533-position model. The record is from RNAcentral.